UUAGUUUCAAAAACCCAA
This 18-nucleotide small nuclear RNA is filed under the name Arabidopsis thaliana (thale cress). RNAcentral's name for it is "snRNA_07845". Lineage: Eukaryota; Viridiplantae; Streptophyta; Magnoliopsida; Brassicales; Brassicaceae. The record is from RNAcentral.